GAGUUUGAUCAUGGCUCAGGAUGAACGCUAGCGGCAGGCUUAACACAUGCAAGUCGAGGGGUAUAGGUUUUCGGACCUAGAGACCGGCGCACGGGUGCGUAACGCGUAUGCAAUCUACCUUUUACAGAGGGAUAGCCCAGAGAAAUUUGGAUUAAUACCUCAUAGUAUUAUGAUAAGGCAUCUUAUUAUAAUUAAAGUUCCAACGGUAAAGAUGAGCAUGCGUCCCAUUAGCUAGAUGGUAAGGUAACGGCUUACCAUGGCGACGAUGGGUAGGGGUCCUGAGAGGGAGAUCCCCCACACUGGUACUGAGACACGGACCAGACUCCUACGGGAGGCAGCAGUGAGGAAUAUUGGUCAAUGGGCGCAAGCCUGAACCAGCCAUGCCGCGUGCAGGAUGACGGUCCUAUGGAUUGUAAACUGCUUUUGUACAGGAAGAAACAGUUCUACGUGUAGAACCUUGACGGUACUGUAAGAAUAAGGAUCGGCUAACUCCGUGCCAGCAGCCGCAGUAA
This 512-nucleotide ribosomal RNA is filed under the name uncultured Flavobacterium sp. RNAcentral describes it as "bacterial SSU rRNA". It matches the Rfam family "Bacterial small subunit ribosomal RNA", at positions 9 to 523 of the family's 1533-position model. Lineage: Bacteria; Pseudomonadati; Bacteroidota; Flavobacteriia; Flavobacteriales; Flavobacteriaceae. The record is from RNAcentral.